GAGGAGUCUACCAUUUCCUCAAUUCUCAGGCCUGUCACAUUAACAAUUGCUCCCAUAAUUUUUCACAUCAGCAACUUCAUCCCCUCUGUUCUUCAAUUUAUUCUUCAAUUCUUUCACGUUAAAUUUCCAGCGGUUACGCCCCCUCAUUUUCUCCACGGUUACGAAACUGAUUUAUCAUUCAGCAACCACUUCCAAUCUUCUUCUUCUACAACGGUUUCGCAAAACCGUUUCUCUUUCAAAUGCUAUUCUCUCCCUUUUCCCAUUAUCAAUCGCAUCGCUUCAUAAUCAUACCUUCUCAAUCAAAUUUGUUUUCUGAAUUCUUCAAUAUUCAUGAAAUUACCUGCACAAUUUCAUUUUCCUAAUCGAUCGACGAUUUUUCGUUGUUUGUUCGUGUUUUCAUUUUCAUUCUACGCCAUUCCGAGUCAGUCUUCCUCUGCGCGCAAAUCUGCUACUCUCAGUGAUAGAAUCGGUUUGUGCUAUGUCGUCAAGAAUCGUUUAACUUCUUCUAACGAGGGUACUGAUCUCAAACUCUCGGUGGAUCUCUUGGAAAAAGAAAGAGACUUUUGCUUUUCAAAACUACGGGAUAUAUAGAUUCUUUGUCAUGCAUCAGAGCUGGAGAAUGAACCUUUUCUGUUUCGUCUUCUCCUCCUACUGUGCAGCAGAGUUUGCGCGGAGCGCCAUCAUCGGUAACAAAUCUUCAGCAGCAUAUUAAACAAAUCGUACAACUUCUUCCGCUCACAACUAAACACACGCGGGAACUUCCGACUCGCGACGCACCUUCAUCGUCAUCUCGUGAGAACAACAUCUUCAGCCACACGAUUGUAACCUAAUAUACAACGACAUCACCAGAAAAGCACGGUUGCGACAUCAGAUUCACGAACAACAAUUUGCGAAUUCGUCAACAAGCUUCCAUUCGCACCCUGAUCGAAGCAAUUAUUGGGUUUUGUUUGAAUUUUCAGAUAAGGUCUAGCCUAGGACUAAUAGCUAACAGAACCCUUGGUGUAAGUGCUCCCAGUGGGGCUAUCACUUCUAUUCCUUCAUGGAUUCAACUACGGCGUAUGCUCAAGACCGGGACAUCAAUGUCAUUUCCACCAGCUUGUGGAGGAAUUGCAUUGCUCAUAAGUAAAAUGAAGACAGAGGGAAUUUUUGUGUGUCCAUAUGAUCUGAGGAAAGCCCUGGAGAAUGUAACUGUUCCAAACGGCAAUUCAUCGGAGGAUAAAUUAUCACUGAGCCAAGUUAACAAGUUUGAUAUUUUCUCUGUCCAACUCUUCAAAGAAUUUUGUAGUAAAUGGUAAUAUUAUAAGAUUUGUUAUAGACUUGAAUUAAGAAGCUUGAUGUCAAACUCAGUAGAUACAAAGAACAGAUCAAGAAAACAAGGUAUGGUCCUACUCUCGAAGCUAUUAAAUCUAGAGCCAUGCGAUUUCUUAAAUAAAAGAGAAUGUGAGUCUAUUGUUCUUUGUUUUCUUAGUUUAUUUGUCGUUGUUGAGUUGUCACAUUGUACACACACUAACAAUACUUUGAGUUUUUACUUUAAAUACGCUCAACUACUUUAUCAUGCAGCUAAUAAUCUUCCUUAGCUCAAUACAUUAUACAUGAAGUGAAUAUUAUAUUGUUGUUUUAAUAUACCAAUACACUAUGCUUUGAUCAGGUAUGAAGGUCAACGCGACAUGUUGUACAAUCAGACAUUUAACCUCGAUCAAGUUUAAUUUGCUGCUGGGGGAAUUAAAGAUGCUCAACAAAUUAUAAGGUUUCCACCAAGUCGAAGACUUUUAGGUCUCCGCAACGCAUGGCACACCGCAGAAUCAAGGAUCUGUUGUCUUCUAAAUACUGGAAUGUUGCUCCAAAAUUGAAGUUAUGCCAACUAUCUAGAUCUGGUGCUGGCUGAAUCAGAUAUUAAACCAUGUUGCAUGACUGCUGAACUGAAAUAUUACGACUGUUGUACCGAAUGAUGCAGGGACUGAACCGAAUCAUACAGCUGCUGUACUUAAAGAUUUUCUGUAGAUUGAUUAAACACUUGAUUUCAAUGUUGAUGUUUCAACCUCUCUUCCCUUGAUGACUUAAAUUUCAGGAAAGAAGAAUUGUUACGAAUUUUGGAUCAAUUGCUAAGAGACAAGGAUGAUAUAAUUAUGGCUACACCUUAUACAGGCUGCAUUGCAGUGCUUUCAACAAUGGAAACAUUAUCGUAAAAGUCUUUGGUCAGUCGGUGCGGUUAAGAAAGCAGUGAUACAUUGACGUUUAAAGAGAAAAGGCUUUCAUGCAAGAAGAUUACAUGAGGAUGAAGUUGGCACCCAAGCAAGCAAAGCGUGACUAUAAUGUGACCAUAAUUGAGGUUGCACAGUUGUUAUUCUAUGCAAUAUCGAGAGCUGCGACCUCUGCUUCCAAUGCAUUCAGCAGAUUGGUUUUCACCUAGAACAAUGAAGAGAAAAAUGAAGAGGAUACAAGAUCUACAAGGCAGUAUAGUUCCUUCAAUCUAAGUGGGAUCAAUUCCCAUUAAAUCUAACUUAUGUGUUGGUAACCUCUAGGGGUACCUGGACUAUGUCAACAGAAAAGCAAAACUGAUAACAUCAGAGUAAGACUUCUUAAUAGUGUAAGUUCACAGGCAGGCUAAUGUUAGUCUCAUACUUUAUUUCUUUUUACACGAACACCACUUCUCAAAAACAAGGAACAAGAAAACUGCAGACUGCAUAAAUUCUUGAGAUUGAAUUGUGGCAUCGGAUACGCAACAAUCAUCAUCAGCAUCAUCAACAUCUAAUAUUGAAGCUGCACAUGGAGCUCUAUGUAGCAUAAUUUGUACUCAGCCUAGAAGAAUAUCUGCUAUAUAUGUUUCUGAAAGAGUAGCGGCAUCCAUGAGCUAUUUUGUUAGCAUGCUUUUGGUUUAGAUUUUACAUUGUCAGUGGAGUAUACCGGAUAUAGUGGUGUGAAAAUUUUGAUCUCUUUUAUUUUCUCAUUA
Vicia villosa (hairy vetch) is the source of this 2950-nucleotide long non-coding RNA. RefSeq lists it as uncharacterized. Lineage: Eukaryota; Viridiplantae; Streptophyta; Magnoliopsida; Fabales; Fabaceae. The record is from RefSeq and is a predicted model, not a curated record. The transcript is spliced from 10 exons.